RNAcentral lists this long non-coding RNA (207 nucleotides) under Capsicum annuum. RNAcentral's name for it is "long non-coding RNA (CANN_LNC008217)". Lineage: Eukaryota; Viridiplantae; Streptophyta; Magnoliopsida; Solanales; Solanaceae. The record is from RNAcentral.
AGAUGACUCAACUAAAAGAUACAUCUUAUAUGAAUUGAAGGAGAUGAAUCGACUAAAAGGUACGUCUUCUAGGGGUUAAGGGGAAUGACUUGACUAGGAGGUAUGUCUUCUAGGAGUGAAGGUUCAAUUGAAGAAGUGUAUCACCCAGCAAAUGAAAACUGAAAUCCCUAGAUGAGAAAGUGUGUCUUCGAGGGAUAUAAGAUGAUG